GGCCAGAUAGCUUAGCUGGUAAAGCACCUGACUAAAGAUUCAGGGGACCUAGGUUCAAAUUCUGGUCUGGUCU
Molecule: non-coding RNA, 73 nt
Organism: Ostrea edulis (European flat oyster)
Lineage: Eukaryota; Metazoa; Mollusca; Bivalvia; Ostreida; Ostreidae
Source: the annotation of a RefSeq genome assembly